RNAcentral lists this ribosomal RNA (591 nucleotides) under Balanoglossus clavigerus. RNAcentral's name for it is "partial 16S large subunit ribosomal RNA". It matches the Rfam family "Bacterial large subunit ribosomal RNA", at positions 1820 to 2619 of the family's 2925-position model. Lineage: Eukaryota; Metazoa; Hemichordata; Enteropneusta; Ptychoderidae. The record is from RNAcentral.
CCCCCUAACCCACNUCGGGGGGUACUGCCUGCCCAGUGAAUAAAUUUAAACGGCCGCGGUACCCUAACCGUGCAAAGGUAGCACAAUCACUAGCCCUCUAAAUAAGGUCCGGUAUGAAUGGCAACACGAAGGCCUGACUGUCUCCUCUUUAACAAAUGAAACUUCUCUAGCCGUGCAAAAGCGGCCAUAAAAGCGCCAGACGAGAAGACCCUAUCGAGCUUUAAGGGUAAGGGAACGACUAAAAACUAGGCUAGCUGAAUUUAUGGUUUACCAAUUACCCACACCCCUAGCUUUGCUCUUUGUCCCUUGGCCCUUUUGGUUGGGGCAACCACGGAGAACAACCACCCUCCGAGCCAAAUUUCUUUCAAAUGACAGCACGUCUUUAAUAAAACCCUUAUGGCACAUGAUCCGGUCUAUCCGAACAACAAACAAAGUUACCGUAGGGAUAACAGCGUAAUCCCUCCUAAGAGCCCGCAUUGCCGGAGGGGUUUGCGACCUCGAUGUUGGAUCGGGGAAUCCUGAUGGUGCAGCCGCUAUCAAGGGUUGGUCUGUUCGACCAUUAAAACCCCACGUGAUCUGAGUUCAGACCGG